CUACGGCCAUAUCACGUUGAAAUAUCGGUUCCCAUAUCAUCACUGGAGUUAAGCAACGUCGAACCUGGUCAGUACCUAGAUGGGUGACCGCUUGGGAAACCAGGUGCUGUAAG
This is a non-coding RNA of Acanthosepion pharaonis, 113 nucleotides long. The record is from the annotation of a GenBank genome assembly. NCBI's taxonomy places the organism in Eukaryota, Metazoa, Mollusca, Cephalopoda, Sepiida, Sepiidae.